AGAGUUUGAUCCUGGCUCAGAUUGAACGCUGGCGGCAUGCCUAACACAUGCAAGUCGAACGGGAGUAGCAAUACUCUAGUGGCGGACGGGUGAGGAAUACGUAGGAAUUUGCCCUUAAGUGGGGGAUAACCCGGGGAAACCCGGAUUAAUACCGCAUGAUCUCGAAAGAGCAAAGUGGGGGAUCGCAAGACCUCACGCUUUUGGAGAAGCCUACGUCGGAUUAGCUAGUUGGUGAGGUAAUGGCUCACCAAGGCGACGAUCCGUAACUGGUCUGAGAGGAUGAUCAGUCACACCGGAACUGAGACACGGUCCGGACUCCUACGGGAGGCAGCAGUGGGGAAUAUUGGACAAUGGGCGAAAGCCUGAUCCAGCAAUGCCGCGUGUGUGAAGAAGGCCUUCGGGUUGUAAAGCACUUUAAGUUGGGAAGAAAAAAUUCCACCUAAUACGUGGAGUCUUGACGGUACCGACAGAAUAAGCACCGGCUAACUCUGUGCCAGCAGCCGCGGUAAUACAGAGGGUGCAAGCGUUAAUCGGAUUUACUGGGCGUAAAGCGUGCGUAGGCGGUUCGUUAAGUCGAUUGUGAAAGCCCUGGGCUCAACCUGGGAAUUGCAGUCGAUACUGAUGGACUAGAGAACGGUAGAGGGAGGCGGAACUCCAGGUGUAGCGGUGAAAUGCGUAGAUAUCUGGAAGAACACCGAUGGCGAAGGCAACCUCCUGGGCCUGUUCUGACGCUGAGGCACGAAAGCGUGGGUAGCAAACAGGAUUAGAUACCCUGGUAGUCCACGCUGUAAACGAUGAGAACUUGACGUCGGGUCGCUUAGCGAUUCGGUGUCGAAGCUAACGCGCUAAGUUCUCCGCCUGGGGAGUACGGCCGCAAGGUUGAAACUCAAAGGAAUUGACGGGGGCCCGCACAAGCGGUGGAGUAUGUGGUUUAAUUCGAUGCAACGCGAAGAACCUUACCUGGUCUUGACAUGUCAAGAAGUCUGCAGAGAUGCGGAUGUGCCUUCGGGAACUUGAACACAGGUGCUGCAUGGCUGUCGUCAGCUCGUGUCGUGAGAUGUUGGGUUAAGUCCCGCAACGAGCGCAACCCUUG
This 1093-nucleotide ribosomal RNA is filed under the name metagenome. RNAcentral describes it as "bacterial SSU rRNA". It matches the Rfam family "Bacterial small subunit ribosomal RNA", at positions 8 to 1107 of the family's 1533-position model. The record is from RNAcentral.